RNAcentral lists this ribosomal RNA (561 nucleotides) under uncultured Micromonas. RNAcentral's name for it is "SSU rRNA". It matches the Rfam family "Eukaryotic small subunit ribosomal RNA", at positions 448 to 1018 of the family's 1831-position model. The record is from RNAcentral. Lineage: Eukaryota; Viridiplantae; Chlorophyta; Mamiellophyceae; Mamiellales.
AUCCUGACACAGGGAGGUAGUGACAAUAAAUAACAAUAUCGGGGUUUUUCAACUCUGAUAAUUGGAAUGAGAACAAUCUAAAUCCCUUAACGAGGAUCCAUUGGAGGGCGAGUCUGGUGCCAGCAGCCGCGGUAAUUCCAGCUCCAAUAGCGUAUAUUUAAGUUGUUGCAGUUAAAAAGCUCGUAGUUGGACUUCGGUUAAGAGCGACCGGUCCGCCGUUUGGUGUGCACUGGUUGGUUUUAACUUCCUGUAGAGGACGUGCUCUGGGCUUAACGGUCUGGACUCGGAGUCUACGUGGUUACUUUGAAAAAAUUAGAGUGUUCAAAGCGGGCUUACGCUUGAAUAUUUCAGCAUGGAAUAACACUAUAGGACUCCAGUCCUAUUUCGUUGGUCUCGGGACGGGAGUAAUGAUUAAGAGGAACAGUUGGGGGCAUUCGUAUUUCAUUGUCAGAGGUGAAAUUCUUGGAUUUAUGAAAGACGAACUUCUGCGAAAGCAUUUGCCAAGGAUGUUUUCAUUAAUCAAGAACGAAAGUUGGGGGCUCGAAGAUGAUUAGAUACCAU